RNAcentral lists this transfer RNA (77 nucleotides) under Bacteroidota bacterium. Its description in RNAcentral is "Bacteroidetes bacterium tRNA-Val". It matches the Rfam family "tRNA". Rfam says of the family: Transfer RNA (tRNA) molecules are approximately 80 nucleotides in length. The record is from RNAcentral. Lineage: Bacteria; Pseudomonadati; Bacteroidota. RNAcentral also lists the same sequence under 1 other name.
GGGCUCUUAGCUCAGUGGUUUAGAGCGCUCGCCUCACACGCGAGAGGUCACAGGUUCGAAUCCCGUAGGGCCCACCA